CGUAGAGCUAUGCAGCUGACACCAUACAAACAGACACCGAAGAAGUGGCUUACUGUUUCUCAGUCAGGGACAGCCUGGAACAAGUCCACGGGUUACUGCAUGGCCAAGAUCCACACUGCGCAACACCACGUGGACUUCAUACAAAUGUAUGAACCUUCCCCACAGCGUUUGCAGAGAUGAGAGCUGGCACCUUGGGCAGACUGGUGUCUGGGAUGCUGGAAUGAGAAAGGAACUGAGCAAGCAGACGCGCAGUUGACUCAGGAGGUGCCAUUGCUGGGGCUUCAAAAUCGCUGUGCAAACAAAGUAAGAGCCUUAAAAUGAGCUUACAAAAAAUAAAGGAGUAACAUGUGAUUAGAAUAACUGUACAAAUCACUGUCAUCGCAAAACUGCUCUUACGGGCGGGUACACCAGCUGGGAACAAUCACAGUCAGACUACACGUAGGCCUGCUCCUCAGCCAGCUGCUUCCCAGACUCUACUGGCACAUGGGGCCACUCCAACCCACA
Molecule: long non-coding RNA, 504 nt
Filed under: Gallus gallus (chicken)
Lineage: Eukaryota; Metazoa; Chordata; Aves; Galliformes; Phasianidae
Description: lncRNA (ENSGALG00010021876.1)
Source: RNAcentral